CUACGGGUCGCACCAGUCGAGAAUCAUUCGCAAUGCACGAAAGUGUGACGAUGCGACGCCGCGUGGAGGAUGACGGCCUUCGGGUUGUAAACUCCUGUCAGCAGGGAGCAACGCUUCAAUGUUUAAUACACAUUGAAUUUGAUAGUACCUGCAGAGGAAGUCACGGCUAACUCUGUGCCAGGCAGCCGCGGUAAUACAGAGGUGGCAAGCGUUAAUCGGAAUUACUGGGCGUAAAGGGUCCGCAGGUGGUUUUGUGUGUCGGGUGUGAAAUGCUACAGCUCAACUGUAGAAUGGCACUCGAAACUGCAGAACUAGAGUUCUGGAGGGGAGAAGGGAACAGUUGGUGUAGCGGUGAAAUGCGUAGAUAUCAACUGGAACACCGGUGGCGAAGGCGCUUCUCUGGACAGAUACUGACACUCAUGGACGAAAGCUAAGGUAGCGAAAGGGAUUAGAUACCCCGGUAGUC
RNAcentral lists this ribosomal RNA (466 nucleotides) under uncultured bacterium. Its description in RNAcentral is "partial 16S ribosomal RNA". It matches the Rfam family "Bacterial small subunit ribosomal RNA", at positions 339 to 795 of the family's 1533-position model. The record is from RNAcentral.